Molecule: microRNA precursor, 128 nt
Filed under: Olea europaea subsp. europaea
Lineage: Eukaryota; Viridiplantae; Streptophyta; Magnoliopsida; Lamiales; Oleaceae
Source: RNAcentral
AAGAUAAGAGCCAAUUAGGAUAGCCAAAGGACGACGCCUAAAUACCACACAAUUAAUUAUGAGUCGAACUCAUGAUUAAGAAUGAAUUUAGGCAAGUCAUCCUUGGCUACCAAAUCAGGCUCUUUAUU